RNAcentral lists this ribosomal RNA (561 nucleotides) under uncultured bacterium. RNAcentral describes it as "bacterial SSU rRNA". It matches the Rfam family "Bacterial small subunit ribosomal RNA", at positions 338 to 916 of the family's 1533-position model. The record is from RNAcentral.
CCUACGGGAGGCAGCAGUGGGGAAUCUUGCGCAAUGGGCGAAAGCCUGACGCAGCCAUGCCGCGUGAAUGAUGAAGGUCUUAGGAUUGUAAAAUUCUUUCACCGGGGACGAUAAUGACGGUACCCGGAGAAGAAGCCCCGGCUAACUUCGUGCCAGCAGCCGCGGUAAUACGAAGGGGGCUAGCGUUGCUCGGAAUUACUGGGCGUAAAGGGAGCGUAGGCGGAUAGUUUAGUCAGAGGUGAAAGCCCAGGGCUCAACCUUGGAAUUGCCCUUGAUACUGGCUAUCUUGAGUACGGAAGAGGUAUGUGGAACUCCGAGUGUAGAGGUGAAAUUCGUAGAUAUUCGGAAGAACACCAGUGGCGAAGGCGACAUACUGGUCCGUUACUGACGCUGAGGCUCGAAAGCGUGGGGAGCAAACAGGAUUAGAUACCCUGGUAGUCCACGCUGUAAACGAUGAGUGCUAGUUGUCGGCAUGCAUGCAUGUCGGUGACGCAGCUAACGCAUUAAGCACUCCGCCUGGGGAGUACGGUCGCAAGAUUAAAACUCAAAAUGAAUUGACGG